Molecule: long non-coding RNA, 449 nt
Organism: Corapipo altera (White-ruffed manakin)
Lineage: Eukaryota; Metazoa; Chordata; Aves; Passeriformes; Pipridae
Exons: 3
Source: RefSeq, a predicted model, not a curated record
CAACAGACCUGGAGGAAGUCCACCUAUCUCACAUCCUUGUCCAAGAAAGGAUGCACUACAUAACAAGCAGCACCCUGCUAAAGAAGCCUCCUGGAUGCAGAUGGUGGCAUGCACUGCCACAAAGGAGCAGCAGCAUUGCUGAACAUGGUACAACACGGUACACACAGAGUUCUUCACGCUCCAGGAAUAACAAGCUGUGACAAAGUUAGUGGAAGCUUGAACAAUGGUUCUUGACAGUGGAAUAACACCUUAAACUUCUCAAGGGCAUGCCAGACCCACAGUGCUAGUGGAUGAAGAUGGCUACAGAGGGAAAAUUGUUUUAACACCAGAAGAACCACAGAGCCUGUAUCAGCUCCUCAGACAAGAUAAAUCAACACAGCCACUGACCUGAUUUCAGUGGCACUAAGCUAAUUUGCAUCAGCUGAGCAGCGGACUCAUUAUCAAUAGAU